Passer domesticus (house sparrow) is the source of this 381-nucleotide long non-coding RNA. RefSeq lists it as uncharacterized. The transcript is spliced from 3 exons. The record is from RefSeq and is a predicted model, not a curated record. NCBI's taxonomy places the organism in Eukaryota, Metazoa, Chordata, Aves, Passeriformes, Passeridae.
ACUCUCCAUCAUUUACCAGCAGUCUUGGUUAAUCAAGGACGUCCCAGAUGACUGGAGAAAUGUCAUGGAUUUGAACAGUUGUUACUGUAGCAAGGAAAUAGAAAGUAGAAGAAUAUAAGAAUCACAGAAAAUUUUGAGUUGGAAGAGACCCACGAGGAUUAUCCAGUCAAACUCUUCAGUGAAUGGCCCAUUGGGGGAUCAAGCCAAAUACCUUCUUACUAGCACCGUUCUUUAAGCAAGGGAGCUAAUUUUUAUAAACUCUAGUUUCUAAGGAACAAAAGGCAAUGUUAUUCCCUUCUGAAACAGAAAUGUUUGCAAUUGAAGAUUGUAAAGAAAAAAGAAUUAAUUCUGUGAAAUAUUGAGUAAACAAUUACAUCUGUG